Molecule: long non-coding RNA, 199 nt
Filed under: Capsicum annuum
Lineage: Eukaryota; Viridiplantae; Streptophyta; Magnoliopsida; Solanales; Solanaceae
Description: long non-coding RNA (CANN_LNC015791)
Source: RNAcentral
UUAGCCUCUUCUAUCUGCUGAGUAUGGACCAUGAUCCUUGAUAUGUCCAUUUCCUUAAUCAACAUCACUGUUCUGCACUCCUUAACCACACUAUCUGACACCCCACAUACAAACUUGAUUGUUCUGGACCUACUGUCUGCUACUGCAUAAGGAGCAUACCUAUAUAACUACGUAAACUUGAGGCAAUACUUUUUCACGC